UGUCAAAACUCACUGAAAUGUCUUUGGAGGAGAGGCUACGGCAGUACAGGGAUGAAAUAUGCCCUGUGCAAUAUUUAUUGCUAAAUGGCCACUAUCCUCCAGAACUAACGCGCAAUCAGAUAAAAAAUGUGAGGAGACAGAAGGCAGUAUAUAUGAUGAAAGAGAACAAGUUACAUAAAUUCCAGAAAAGAAGAAAUGUCUGGGUACAAGUUAUCACUACCCCUGGUGAAGUCCAUGAAAUUCUAAAGAUGUACCAUGUAGUAAGUGGAUGUCACCGGGGGGUAGUGAAAACAAAAGCUGCCAUUGGUGACUUGUACUUCUGGAAAGACAUGACUAAAGACAUUGAGAAUUAUAUAUCAUCAUGUCCAACUUGCCAGACUUUUGAGCCAAUAAAAACCCAAGCCCCUACCCUGAAGCAAAUCAAGGUAUCUCUCCCAAUGGAAGUUGUGGGAAUGGACCUUAU
Molecule: long non-coding RNA, 463 nt
Organism: Eriocheir sinensis (Chinese mitten crab)
Lineage: Eukaryota; Metazoa; Arthropoda; Malacostraca; Decapoda; Varunidae
Exons: 3
Source: RefSeq, a predicted model, not a curated record